This 996-nucleotide ribosomal RNA is filed under the name Brachybacterium sp. Its description in RNAcentral is "bacterial SSU rRNA". It matches the Rfam family "Bacterial small subunit ribosomal RNA", at positions 434 to 1442 of the family's 1533-position model. Lineage: Bacteria; Bacillati; Actinomycetota; Actinomycetes; Micrococcales; Dermabacteraceae. The record is from RNAcentral.
UUCAGCAGGGAAGAAGCGAAAGUGACGGUACCUGCAGAAGAAGCGCCGGCUAACUACGUGCCAGCAGCCGCGGUAAUACGUAGGGCGCGAGCGUUGUCCGGGAAUUAUUGGGCGUAAAGAGCUUGUAGGUGGCUUGUCGCGUCUGCCGUGAAAACCCGAGGCUCAACCUCGGGCGUGCGGUGGGUACGGGCAGGCUAGAGUGUGGUAGGGGAGACUGGAACUCCUGGUGUAGCGGUGAAAUGCGCAGAUAUCAGGAAGAACACCGAUGGCGAAGGCAGGUCUCUGGGCCAUUACUGACACUGAGAAGCGAAAGCAUGGGGAGCGAACAGGAUUAGAUACCCUGGUAGUCCAUGCCGUAAACGUUGGGCACUAGAUGUGGGGAACAUUCCACGUUUUCCGCGUCGUAGCUAACGCAUUAAGUGCCCCGCCUGGGGAGUACGGCCGCAAGGCUAAAACUCAAAGGAAUUGACGGGGGCCCGCACAAGCGGCGGAGCAUGCGGAUUAAUUCGAUGCAACGCGAAGAACCUUACCAAGGCUUGACAUGCACCGGACGACUCCAGAGAUGGGGUUUUCUUCGGACUGGUGCACAGGUGGUGCAUGGUUGUCGUCAGCUCGUGUCGUGAGAUGUUGGGUUAAGUCCCGCAACGAGCGCAACCCUCGUUCCAUGUUGCCAGCGCGUAAUGGCGGGGACUCAUGGGAGACUGCCGGGGUCAACUCGGAGGAAGGUGGGGACGACGUCAAAUCAUCAUGCCCCUUAUGUCUUGGGCUUCACGCAUGCUACAAUGGCCGGUACAAAGGGUUGCGAAACUGUGAGGUGGAGCGAAUCCCAAAAAGCCGGUCUCAGUUCGGAUUGGGGUCUGCAACUCGACCCCAUGAAGUCGGAGUCGCUAGUAAUCGCAGAUCAGCAACGCUGCGGUGAAUACGUUCCCGGGCCUUGUACACACCGCCCGUCAAGUCACGAAAGUCGGUAACACCCGAAGCCAGUGGCCCAUCCUC